Molecule: ribosomal RNA, 440 nt
Filed under: uncultured bacterium
Lineage: Bacteria
Description: partial 16S ribosomal RNA
Rfam family: Bacterial small subunit ribosomal RNA
Source: RNAcentral
CCUACGGGUGGCUGCAGUAGGGAAUAUUGCACAAUGGGGGAAACCCUGAUGCAGCAACGCCGCGUGGAUGAUGAAGGAUCUCGGUUCGAAAACCCCUAUCGGUAGAGAAGAUAAUGACGGUAUCUAACGAAUAAGCACCGGCUAACUACGUGCCAGCAGCCGCGGUAAUACGGAGGGGGCAAGCGUUAUCCGGAAUCACUGGGCGUAAAGAGCGCGUAGGCGGGAUAGCAAGUCAGAUGUGAAAUCCUAUGGCUUAACCCCAGAACUGCAUUUGAAACUGUUAUUCUAGAGUAUGGGAGAGGUAGGUGGAAUUCCUGGUGUAGGGGUAAAAUGCGUAGAGAUCAAGAGGAAUACUCAUUGCGAAGGCGACCUGCUAGAACAUAACUGACGCUGAUGCGCGAAAGCGUGGGGAGCAAACAGGAUUAGAUACCCCAGUAGUC